ACAGCCUGAAUGAGAGGGAAGCAAGGAGAUGACGCCCUUAGCUCUGAAAAGACAUUUUCCCAAGCAGCUGGCAAGGCCCCCGCCUGCUCCGGGGGAUUUUCCAAUCUGCUCCAGAAAGGGCCAGCUCCGAGCAUGUUGGGAGCAUUCAGGGACAUGGCGAGGCCCACUUCGCGAGCCCUGGCCGUGAGCACAGCGCGUCUGCAGGUCCUUUCUCCUGCUUUUCCCUUUCCCCUCCUGCUUUUCCUGGCGACAGGGUGAUCAGAGACGGGGAGCGAAGAGCCUCCCAGAGCCCUUCUCCCCUUGGCAGCCUUCGGCCGCAUCCGAGACCUCGGCCCAGCAAACGCAGCCUCCCUGCGUGGCACAGAGCUCUAACGGAAAGACGCAGGUUUGGGAGAGAAGCAAGAUCUUCCGUCCCAAGCGUGGAACGACUGUGCUCAGAACUGGGAACCCAGGACAUAGAAUGAAUGGCUGACCUGCCUCGUACGCUGUGGACAUUUGCUCUCGAGGCCCGGGAGGUCCACUGCCCAGCAGCUGCAAGCCGGCCUGCCUGUGGUUCCCUAAAGAUCAGGACGGAUGGGGAAAAGCGCCCUUCUUAGGUGAAAGCAUCAGCUCGUUUCUACGUGUCAGCACUGGGAGAAGAUGUGGGGUCAGUGUCUUCACCAGGGAGCUGGUGCGAGGAUCAGCCCGUGAGAUGACAGACUCGGCGCCCUGCCAGAUGCUGUAAAGCGUGGAACUGUGUCAUCGAUGGUUAAGGAGAAAACAGGGUUUUGCAAAGGCACAACUAGAAGGAUGAAGGUGGCUGAAUAUUUGUCUUCUGAGUGAUACGGACUUUCCUUGAAGAAUGGCGCAUUUACGAGUGUCAGCCUGCCACCCGUUACUGCGAUUAGGUUCUUCAGCAACCGAGGAGGAAUGAGGAGGACUCAGACGGAUUUCGAAGAAUGGCAUGACUAAUGUACAAACAAGAGUGAAAGGGAGUGUUGGAAAAACUCAGGGACACUGAAGACUGAAGUGGGUUGAAAACAAAUCAGAACGUGAGUUCUCCCACUUGAGUGCGAGCAGAAUUUGUUUUUCAGAAGUAAUUUUUAAGGAUUCACUUGGAGAAGGAAGAGGGAUUUUCCUUUACGCUUUUGGAUCGGAUGGCUCUGUGUUGCGAACGGUUUUCUCGCGGCCUUCAAGAAUUUGUUUGGUACCCACUUGUUCAAAACCCAAGGGCAAACAGCCAAGUCCCCUUAAAGCUGUCCGCCCGGGACUACGGGAGUCAGUUUGAAACGUCUUCGUUUUAAGAAGGUGGCAGAAUUACAUAAUUAUUCACAGCUCAUAAGAAAUUAAAAUACCUCUUCCAAAUAUGAAGUCGCGAGAUAACACAAACCACAAGUCCUAGACUCUCGGAGGGCGUGUGCCUCGUUUGUGCUCCCACACACAAACCCACAGCCGACCGUCUGCGCUGAGAGCACGUGGCCCCACUGAGAGCACGUGGCCACGCUGACCUCGCUUCCCUCGUGUUCCUCCGCACACAGCAGGGCUCUUGCCCAGGGCCUCCCUUGGCGACGCCGAGGGACCGAAGAUGCCAAAUGCUGGAGAGGCGGGAGGUCACCACAAGGCACCUGGGACCACAGACGCACUCUCUUCCACUCAUGGCCAGGGUGCACGAGGUGAGGAACCCCGUGCACGUGGUGUCCAGUUCUUCUUCGAGUCCUGCUGUCGGUUCUUUCAGACGCUUCUGCAGCGGUUGCACCCUUUCGCAUUCCUGCCAGCCGGGCAGAGGUCCCACUUCUGCACGUGCUCACCAGCACUCGUUAUUUGAUGUAUUCUGGUAGUCCCAUUGCUGCGACCGUGAGACCGUCACACAGACGCAGUCUCUAAACUUCCCUCUGCGAGCACGAGAAGCAGCCCCUUGGUCAGGCAGGGCCGGGGGUGGGGCGGGACGGGGCGGGACGGGGUACUCGUCAGAAGCUGGGUCCAGCGCCUGCAAAUCACCUUUAAUUUAUAGCUCUGCAAAUCCCCGUGGCCCAUCGCAGUGCCCAGCCAGCCCGGGGUCUUCAUGAGUGUUGCUUGGUUGGGAGGCAUGGCUGCGUCACCAGUGGACAGCUUUGGGGACUGUGCGAUUCGGCCUGUGGCUGCAGCUCAGGUAGUGGGUGGGGAAGGGGUGGCAGGAGGGGGCUGGAGUGUCUCCUGGGGCCACACUUCCCUGGCCUUCAGCCUGAAGCUCAGGAGUCGGAUAUUUCUCCCAGGAGCUAAGAGAAGAUUUUACGUCGGGGACAAUCUGGCUAGACACGUAUGGUUCGGAAGUCAGGCUGCCCACAGCCGCGUGCAGGGUACGGGAGAAGAAGAGACUCUGGGAGGCCAGUGUGGACACGGCAGUGGUGGAUCCGUCUGCCAUGAGGCACUGAGCUGGACGAUGGCAUCUGUUAGCUGUGCCCCCUUGCCAGCCCCCAGGGGCCACACGUCCUUAUGCACAACAGGUGCUGGGGACGCAGUCCCCAUUUGGAAACUCACGGAUGAGGCGGAAAUAAGACUACCACGGGGAAGGGGAGAGGAGCUAGGCGCAUUCUGGGCAGAAAUCUUCAGUUUCUGGAAGCUGAGAAGGUGAUAACAGGAACAUCUGAAGACGCAGAAGCUGCUCAUCUUAGUAGCUUGGCCAACAAGAAGGACGGGGUUAAAUUCCCUCCCGAGAAAAGUGUGUUCACCGAGCUUCGCGUUUCCCUCCGUCCUUUCCCCCUUGCCUUCCUGCUAUGGACACGACAGCGUGACGCUGCAGAAAGGAUGAAGUCCAGAAAACAGAAGACUUCUGUUUGUUUUUCACUGUGGCGCUGAUGGCUUCCUCUGUGCUCAGAUUUGGGUCCGCCUCUGGGUAGUUGGCAAAGCGAGAUGUGCCAUUUGUCAUUAAAAAAAUAAAAACAUUCAAAG
This 2907-nucleotide long non-coding RNA is filed under the name Sus scrofa (pig). RNAcentral's name for it is "lncRNA (ENSSSCG00000034335.3)". The record is from RNAcentral. Lineage: Eukaryota; Metazoa; Chordata; Mammalia; Artiodactyla; Suidae.